RNAcentral lists this ribosomal RNA (392 nucleotides) under uncultured bacterium. RNAcentral describes it as "partial 16S ribosomal RNA". It matches the Rfam family "Bacterial small subunit ribosomal RNA", at positions 523 to 918 of the family's 1533-position model. The record is from RNAcentral.
AUACGGAGGAUGCGAGCGUUAUCCGGAUUUAUUGGGUUUAAAGGGAGCGUAGGCGGGAGCUUAAGUCAGCGGUUAAAUGGUGCGGCUCAACCGUGCCCUGCCGUUGAAACUGGGUUUCUUGAGAGUGCAAGAGGCGGAUGGAAUUCAUGGUGUAGCGGUGAAAUGCUUAGAUAUCAUGAAGAACUCCUAUUGCGAAGGCAGUCCGCUGGGGCACGUCUGACGCUGAUGCUCGAAGGUGCGGGAAUCAAACAGUAUUAGAUCCCCUGGUAGUCCGCACGGUAAACGAUGAUUACCCGCUUUCGGCGGUAGACAGUCGGCGGCCAAGCGAAAGCGAUAAGUAAUCCACCUGGGGAGUACGCCGGCAACGGUGAAACUCAAAUUAAUUGACUGGG